RNAcentral lists this unclassified non-coding RNA (362 nucleotides) under uncultured bacterium. RNAcentral's name for it is "contains 16S-23S intergenic spacer region". The record is from RNAcentral.
UCCCCCGUGAGGGGGCAGUCUCGCCUGACAUAUAAAACAGGCAACGCGGGUUGCGUUCGUUACCCCACUGAAGGGAACAACUCAAGCCACGAACUGACGACGACCAUGCAUCACCUGCCAAGCCGUCUUGCGAAAGCUAAAGUUUCCUAAAGCGGUCGUCUUGGUUUCAAACCCUGGUGAGGUUCUUCGUUUGUCAUCGAAUUGAGCCGCAUGAUCCACCGCUUGUGCAAGUCCCCGUCUAUUCCUUUGAGUUUUAGCCUUGCGGCCGUACUACCCAGGCGGAUAACUUAACGCGUUUGCUUCGCCUCGAAGAGGGUCGAUACUCCUCAAAGCCAGUUAUCAUCGUUUAGGGCGUGGACUAC